This 203-nucleotide ribosomal RNA is filed under the name Clostridioides difficile. Its description in RNAcentral is "partial 16S ribosomal RNA". It matches the Rfam family "Bacterial small subunit ribosomal RNA", at positions 431 to 652 of the family's 1533-position model. Lineage: Bacteria; Bacillati; Bacillota; Clostridia; Peptostreptococcales; Peptostreptococcaceae. The record is from RNAcentral.
CUCUGUCCUCAAGGAAGAUAAUGACGGUACUUGAGGAGGAAGCCCCGGCUAACUACGUGCCAGCAGCCGCGGUAAGACGUAGGGGGCUAGCGUUAUCCGGAUUUACUGGGCGUAAAGGGUGCGUAGGCGGUCUUUCAAGUCAGGAGUGAAAGGCUACGGCUCAACCGUAGUAAGCUCUUGAAACGGGGAGACUUGAGUGCAGG